RNAcentral lists this ribosomal RNA (484 nucleotides) under uncultured bacterium. RNAcentral's name for it is "partial 16S ribosomal RNA". It matches the Rfam family "Bacterial small subunit ribosomal RNA", at positions 30 to 507 of the family's 1533-position model. The record is from RNAcentral.
AUUGAACGCUGGCGGCCUGCCUUACACAUGCAAGUCGAGCGGCUGCAGGGAGCAGGCUCCUGGAUUCAGCGCGGGACGGGUACGUAAUGCUAAGGAAUCUGAAUGUUACUGGGGGUUAAGGUUAGCUAAUGGACACUAUAACUGAUUACGUCUUGUGGGAGAAGGUGAAGGCAGUUCGGACUCCACGCUAUCGGAAGUGCAUCGGUCGGAUUAGCUAGUUGGUGGGGUAAAGGCAAACCAAGGCGACGAUCAGUAACUGGUCUGAGAGGAUGAUCAGUCACACUGGAACUGAGACACGGCCCAGACUCCUACGGGAGGCAGCAGUGGGGAAUUUUGGACAAUGGGCGAAAGCCUGAUCCAGCCAUGCCGCGUGUCUGAAGAAGGUCUUCGGAUUGUAAAGCACUUUAAUUUGGGAAGAAGGGCAGUAAGUUAAUACCGUGCGCUGAUGACGUUACCAACAGAAUAAGCACCGGCUAACUUCGUG